AUUGAACGCUGGCGGCAGGCUUAACACAUGCAAGUCGAGCGGGGGAAGGUAGCUUGCUACCGGACCUAGCGGCGGACGGGUGAGUAAUGCUUAGGAAUCUGCCUAUUAGUGGGGGACAACAUCUCGAAAGGGAUGCUAAUACCGCAUACGUCCUACGGGAGAAAGCAGGGGAUCUUCGGACCUUGCGCUAAUAGAUGAGCCUAAGUCGGAUUAGCUAGUUGGUGGGGUAAAGGCCUACCAAGGCGACGAUCUGUAGCGGGUCUGAGAGGAUGAUCCGCCACACUGGGACUGAGACACGGCCCAGACUCCUACGGGAGGCAGCAGUGGGGAAUAUUGGACAAUGGGGGGAACCCUGAUCCAGCCAUGCCGCGUGUGUGAAGAAGGCCUUAUGGUUGUAAAGCACUUUAAGCGAGGAGGAGGCUACUUUAGUUAAUACCUAGAGAUAGUGGACGUUACUCGCAGAAUAAGCACCGGCUAACUCUGUGCCAGCAGCCGCGGUAAUACAGAGGGUGCGAGCGUUAAUCGGAUUUACUGGGCGUAAAGCGUGCGUAGGCGGCUUAUUAAGUCGGAUGUGAAAUCCCCGAGCUUAACUUGGGAAUUGCAUUCGAUACUGGUGAGCUAGAGUAUGGGAGAGGAUGGUAGAAUUCCAGGUGUAGCGGUGAAAUGCGUAGAGAUCUGGAGGAAUACCGAUGGCGAAGGCAGCCAUCUGGCCUAAUACUGACGCUGAGGUACGAAAGCAUGGGGAGCAAACACGAUUAGAUACCCUGGUAGUCCAUGCCGUAAACGAUGUCUACUAGCCGUUGGGGCCUUUGAGCUUUAGUGGCGCAGCUAACGCGAU
This 838-nucleotide ribosomal RNA is filed under the name Acinetobacter baumannii Naval-18. RNAcentral's name for it is "bacterial SSU rRNA". It matches the Rfam family "Bacterial small subunit ribosomal RNA", at positions 28 to 861 of the family's 1533-position model. The record is from RNAcentral. Lineage: Bacteria; Pseudomonadati; Pseudomonadota; Gammaproteobacteria; Moraxellales; Moraxellaceae.